Molecule: long non-coding RNA, 555 nt
Filed under: Nicotiana benthamiana
Lineage: Eukaryota; Viridiplantae; Streptophyta; Magnoliopsida; Solanales; Solanaceae
Description: long non-coding RNA (NBEN_LNC009549)
Source: RNAcentral
GAGUUACCCUCCUUCUUCGCGACCGGAGAAGAUCGGCCUUCAAUCAACAGAGAAAACCCUAGGUCCAACACCGGAAACCCUAGGUUCUGAAAUUCACCGGAAUAAGGUCACAGACGUCGGAAGGUUACCCAAAACAUCCAUCAAGCGAAGAAAAAGUCACCGGAUAACACCACAACUCUAGGUACGAAAGUCGGAAACCCUAGAAUUUGAAGAGCUCGUCGGAACAAAGUCAGAGAUGUCGGAAAAUCACCCAAAAUAUCUACUGAUACAGGAUCAGAGCCUCAAACAGUCAGAAAAGUCCCAAUUAACCGAUUAACAUUCAUCGAAAAAAAAAUAUACGAACAAUAUUUUUUCUCAGAUAACCGAAGAAAAACUUCAACAAAAGCUUCAUCAAGUAUCGAUAACACAUAACAGAGAAAUCGGAAGAUUUUCCGGCUCUGAUACCAUGAAAACAUGAAGAUUUGAAGAUGAAAAUCAGAGAAGAUGAAGAUGAACAGUGAGAGAGAUAGAGAGAGAAACGGAAGCUUCUGGAGAAAGCCAGAAGACAAUGAAUAC